UGUGUAAAUAAAGUAAUGAGACUGAUAACGUAGCUUGGUGACUGGCAGCACUAAUGGCUUUCCGUUUGGAAAGUUUUGUAGAUAAAUAUGUAAUGUGCCUUCAAUACGACUUUGAAUUCCGUAGUGUCACGUGUUUGUCUAUGGCGAUUAUACCGGUUUUUUUUUAGUACGUUAUAAUAAUGAGUGACAAGAAAUCCGAGCAACAAUGUGCUAUCCGAUUUUGUUUU
This is a non-coding RNA of Cinara cedri, 227 nucleotides long. The record is from the annotation of a GenBank genome assembly. NCBI's taxonomy places the organism in Eukaryota, Metazoa, Arthropoda, Insecta, Hemiptera, Aphididae.